GUAGGCCUGCGACGCGCGUGUUGGUGCGAUGAUCUUUUGAACCAACACUGGAUCUCUGGGGGCCCGAGUCAGACGGCUGGUGCGCAUGGCCCGCCCCGCAUCUUGAAUCCCGACGCUCUGAGAUCGGCAUUCAGGAUGCGGGACGGGAAAGCCUAAAGGCCGGCGCAGGGCGCCCAUCUUAUACAGAGGUUCAGGAUCUAGCGCCCACGGCGAAGCGGACCUCUC
RNAcentral lists this non-coding RNA (225 nucleotides) under Acidobacteriota bacterium. Its description in RNAcentral is "Acidobacteria bacterium 6S RNA". It matches the Rfam family "6S / SsrS RNA". From Rfam's summary of the family: E. coli 6S RNA was the first non coding RNA to be sequenced, but its function was unknown until recently. It consists of 184 nucleotides that fold into an extended hairpin structure with a large single-stranded internal bulge. The record is from RNAcentral. Lineage: Bacteria; Pseudomonadati; Acidobacteriota.